RNAcentral lists this ribosomal RNA (483 nucleotides) under uncultured bacterium. RNAcentral's name for it is "bacterial SSU rRNA". It matches the Rfam family "Bacterial small subunit ribosomal RNA", at positions 20 to 518 of the family's 1533-position model. The record is from RNAcentral.
UGGCUCAGAGUGAACGCUGGCGGCGUGCCUAAUACAUGCAAGUCGAACGGACAAGUAAGAGCUUGCUCUUAUGAGUUAGUGGCGCACGGGUGAGUAAUGUAUAGUUAAUCUGCCCCUUAGUGGAGGACAACAGUUAGAAAUGGCUGCUAAUACUCCAUACUCCUUCUUAACACAAGUUAAGUCGGGAAAGUUUUUUCGCUAAGGGAUGAGACUAUAUUGUAUCAGCUAGUUGGUAAGGUAAUGGCUUACCAAGGCUAUGACGCAUAACUGGUCUGAGAGGAUGAUCAGUCACACUGGAACUGAGACACGGUCCAGACUCCUACGGGAGGCAGCAGUAGGGAAUAUUGCUCAAUGGGGGGAAACCCUGAAGCAGCAACGCCGCGUGGAGGAUGACACUUUUCGGAGCGUAAACUCCUUUUGUUAGGGAAGAACACUGACGGUACCUAACGAAUAAGCACCGGCUAACUCCGUGCCAGCCGCCGC